Molecule: ribosomal RNA, 253 nt
Filed under: uncultured bacterium
Lineage: Bacteria
Description: partial 16S ribosomal RNA
Rfam family: Bacterial small subunit ribosomal RNA
Source: RNAcentral
UACGUAGGGUGCAAGCGUUAAUCGGAAUUACUGGGCGUAAAGCGUGCGCAGGCGGUUAUGCAAGACAGAUGUGAAAUCCCCGGGCUUAACCUGGGAACUGCAUUUGUGACUGCAUAGCUAGAGUACGGUAGAGGGGGAUGGAAUUCCGCGUGUAGCAGUGAAAUGCGUAGAUAUGCGGAGGAACACCGAUGGCGAAGGCAGUCCCCUGGACCUGUACUGACGCUCAUGCACGAAAGCGUGGGGAGCGAACAGG